This 445-nucleotide ribosomal RNA is filed under the name uncultured bacterium. Its description in RNAcentral is "bacterial SSU rRNA". It matches the Rfam family "Bacterial small subunit ribosomal RNA", at positions 330 to 792 of the family's 1533-position model. The record is from RNAcentral.
ACCAGACUCCUACGGGAGGCAGCAGUGGGGAAUAUUGCACAAUGGGGGAAACCCUGAUGCAGCGACGCCGCGUGAGCGAUGAAGUAUUUCGGUAUGUAAAGCUCUAUCAGCAGGGAAGAAAAUGACGGUACCUGACUAAGAAGCCCCGGCUAACUACGUGCCAGCAGCCGCGGUAAUACGUAGGGGGCAAGCGUUAUCCGGAUUUACUGGGUGUAAAGGGAGCGUAGACGGCAGUGCAAGUCCGGAGUGAAAGCCCGGGGCUCAACCCUGGGACUGCUCUGGAAACUGUAAAGCUGGAGUGCGGGAGGGGCAGGCGGAAUUCCUGGUGUAGCGGUGAAAUGCGUAGAUAUCAGGAGGAACACCGGCGGCGAAGGCGGCCUGCUGGACCGUAACUGACGUUGAGGCUCGAAAGCGUGGGGAGCAAACAGGAUUAGAUACCCGCGUA